AAUGAACGUUGGCGGCGUGGAUUAGGCAUGCAAGUCGAGCGAGAACCCCGCAAGGGGGGACAGCGGCGAAAGGGACAGUAAUGUGUAGAUUAUCUGCCCUCAGGUCCGGGAUAGCUGCGGGAAACUGCAGGUAAUACCGGAUAACAUCUCCGGAUCAAAGGUGUGAUUCCGCCUGAGGAUGAGUCUGCAUCCUAUUAGCUAGUUGGUGGGGUAAUGGCCUACCAAGGCAUUGAUGGGUAGCAGGUGUGAGAGCACGACCUGCGUCAUUGGGACUGAGACACUGCCCAGACACCUAAGGGUGGCUGCAGUCGAGAAUCGUCGGCGAUGGGCGCAAGCCUGACCGAGCGACGCCGCGUGUGGGAUGAAGGCCGUCGGGUUGUAAACCACUGUCAGAGGGGAUGAAAUGCAGGUGGGUUCUCCCAUCUGUUUGACAUAGCCGCAGAGGAAGGACGGGCUAAGUUCGUG
This 465-nucleotide ribosomal RNA is filed under the name uncultured bacterium. RNAcentral's name for it is "partial 16S ribosomal RNA". It matches the Rfam family "Bacterial small subunit ribosomal RNA", at positions 29 to 507 of the family's 1533-position model. The record is from RNAcentral.